ACCGUGUGUGGUCUGAGUAUAAAAAUGGAUUUGGGGAACCGGAAGGGAAUCUUUGGAUAGGAAAUGACGUAAUCCAUCAGUUAACAAAGGGAAGGAACUCGUCCCUCAACGUUUCGAUUACAUUAGUGAAUGGCAGCAGCUUGUAUGCGUUGUAUGACAGAUUUUCUGUUUCCACUGAAGCAGACAAGUAUAAACUCUUCUUAGAGGGGUAUUUGGGGGGAACAUUAGGUGACGGUAUGGUAGACACCGGGUAUGCUGGUCGAGAUCUCUCUGGGGUUUAUUUUUCUACGCCAGACCGAGAUUAUGACAGGUUCUUAAGAGGAAGCUGUGCUAACAUCUGCAAAGGAGGCUGGUGGUUUAACAAUUGUUACAAUGCCUUUCUUAAUGGUCCCUGGGACCCAGGAUACUGGACAAAACCAUGGUCUCCUGCAGUUAUAUACGGGGCCUCUGUCAAGAAGACAACCAUAAUGGUCAGGCGUCAUUAGGUUGGAACAUAACAAAGUGU
Molecule: long non-coding RNA, 505 nt
Organism: Saccostrea cuccullata (small rock oyster)
Lineage: Eukaryota; Metazoa; Mollusca; Bivalvia; Ostreida; Ostreidae
Exons: 3
Source: RefSeq, a predicted model, not a curated record